RNAcentral lists this ribosomal RNA (265 nucleotides) under uncultured bacterium. RNAcentral describes it as "partial 16S ribosomal RNA". It matches the Rfam family "Bacterial small subunit ribosomal RNA", at positions 88 to 354 of the family's 1533-position model. The record is from RNAcentral.
CCGGCGACCGGCGCACGGGUGAGUAACACGUAUGCAACCUGCCCUCUUCAGGGGGACAACCUUCCGAAAGGGAGGCUAAUCCCGCGUAUAUCGGUUUCGGGCAUCCGAGAUCGAGGAAAGAUUCAUCGGAAGAGGAUGGGCAUGCGGCGCAUUAGCUAGUCGGCGGGGUAACGGCCCACCGAGGCGACGAUGCGUAGGGGUUCUGAGAGGAAGGUCCCCCACACUGGUACUGAGACACGGACCAGACUCCUACGGGAGGCAGCAG